GAGUUUUAUAUUUUUAUGUAUUAUAGUAUAGGUAAAAAUAUAUAAAAUUUACUUCAACUAUCACCCAUUUAGACGUAACUAUCUAAUCUUUUAAUUUUACUAUCUAACCUUUUGAUUUAUUUGAUUUGAGUAAAUUAGUGACUCCUUCACAUCAAAUUUUGAAUGCGUUGUUUAUUUUUAUGAAUAUAAUUAGUAUAUUUUAUGAAAUUUACGUAACUAUAAAUUCAUUAAGGCAAGUAAUUGGCUUAAAUUGUGAAUCCAAAGAAUGAGCAAAUUAUUUAAAUAAAAUAAAUGAAAAUAUUGGGUAUUAAAAUUAAAAUUUUGAAAGGUUAGGUGGUGAAGCAAAACGGUCUAUAGUUCAGAUAAAUUUUAUAUACUUUUAGCUAAAAUAAAAAGUAUUUUUUUAUAUUUUAAAAUUUUAUAUAAUUAUGUUGAAAUUAGAAGAUCAAAAUUACUGCAUAAUUUAAGUACGCUCAAUGAGAAAGAUUUGUCGUCCCUAUCAUCUAACAAUCUGGAUGGACAAAAAAAAAAAAAAAAAAAAAAAUUGGAAGCUCCCCAACUACGUUUUCUUAGGAAGCCCCAAUUUACCAACACGCGUCACUUUUAUCACUAUUCAAAAGUUAUAAUUUUUUCACCUAAGAUUUAAUUUUUUUUAAAAAAUAGUAUUAACAAAUAUUAAAUGAAUUAUUAUAUGAAGAAAAAAUUAAUACGUGGCGGUGAAUCAGAUUAUCAAGAAGCUUCUCAAGGAGGUGUUAUUGGAAAAUUCUCUAUUAAAAUUUUAUUUUUGUUUACAAAAAAAUAAAAAAAAAAUUUGUGCACCCCACAACCCCAUACAUUUAAAUAUAUAUAUAUUUUUUUAAAAAAAUUAAUCGAACACAUUCAACUCCCUUUUCCAGCCGACAUGCAGCCCCAUCUUGCAAUCAUUAGGAUUCACACCUUACGGCUUGUUUUACACUUAAAACCCUCACAAUUUGUUUAUUAUAUUAUUACCCCUAUGAGCUCUUUAGGAAAAACUUCAAAAACCCCCCUGCGGUUUCACACUUUAUCACUUUAGUACCCUGUAGUUUGUAGUGUAUCAAGUUAGUACUCUGUGGUUUCUUCUCACUUUAUCACUUUAGUACCCUAUGAUUUAAAGUGUAUCAAGUUAGUACUCUGUGGUUUUGCACUUUAUCAUUUAGUACCAUGUGGUUUCACACUUUAUCACUUUAGUAUUCUGUGAUUUAAAAAAUCACAGGAUACUAACUUGAUACAAAAUUAAAAACACAGUGUACUAAAGUGAUAAAGUGCAAAACUACAGGGUACUAAUUUGAUACACUUUAAACCACAGGGUACUAAAGUGAUAAAGUGAGAAACCACACGGUACUAACUUGAUACAUUUUAAACCACAGGGUACUAAAGUGAUAAAAAUUGAAACCACAAGGGGGGUUUUUGAAGUUUUUCCAAAUUUUUAAAUAGAGAAAUAAUUCUAUGCUUUCUAUUUGGGCGCUCUACUGAAUUAACUAAAUAUUUUACGUUAAUACGGCAAAUCAUUUAUUUGUUCACUUAAGUAAUAGUAUUGAACACAGUAGCCAUCAUUUAAGUAAAGUAUUAUGUCUUGAUAAAAGUUUACAAUUCUAUUUAAAUGUAUGAGUAUUUUAUUUAGUAUAUUUUUAAAAUUUUUACUCAGGAAUCUGUAUUAUUUGGAAAACGAGGACGUUGAGAAGUGCGAUCAAAUGCCUAGAAUAUGAUAACAUAUUCGAUCUUCAACUUGUUUUUUAGAAUAAAAUAAAAUACUUUCGUAGGUACAAUAUUCUAUUCUAUUAAAUUAUAAAUGUCAAAACCUUUCAAAAAAAUAAAAAUAAAAUAUUAGAUAAUUUAUUCUGAAGUCCAAAUAUGACCUAAAACAACACAAUAAAUGUUAUAUCCUGUUUACAC
RNAcentral lists this long non-coding RNA (1914 nucleotides) under Ananas comosus (pineapple). RNAcentral's name for it is "long non-coding RNA (ACOM_LNC027240)". Lineage: Eukaryota; Viridiplantae; Streptophyta; Magnoliopsida; Poales; Bromeliaceae. The record is from RNAcentral.